This 457-nucleotide ribosomal RNA is filed under the name uncultured bacterium. RNAcentral's name for it is "bacterial SSU rRNA". It matches the Rfam family "Bacterial small subunit ribosomal RNA", at positions 343 to 791 of the family's 1533-position model. The record is from RNAcentral.
UGGAGGCAGCAGUGGGGAAUUGUUCGCAAUGGGCGCAAGCCUGACGACGCAACGCCGCGUGGAGGAUGAAGAUCUUCGGGUCGUAAACUCCUUUCGAUCGGGACGAACGUGUUCCGGGUGAACAACCUGGGACAGUGACGGUACCGAGAGAAGAAGCCCCGGCUAACUCCGUGCCAGCAGCCGCGGUAAUACGGGGGGGGCAAGCGUUGUUCGGAAUUACUGGGCGUAAAGGGCUCGUAGGCGGCCAACUAAGUCAGACGUGAAAUCCCUCGGCUUAACCGGGGAACUGCGUCUGAUACUGGUUGGCUUGAGUUUGGGAGAGGGAUGCGGAAUUCCAGGUGUAGCGGUGAAAUGCGUAGAUAUCUGGAGGAACACCGGUGGCGAAGGCGGCAUCCUGGACCAACACUGACGCUGAGGAGCGAAAGCCAGGGGAGCAAACGGGAUUAGAUACCCCGGU